Molecule: long non-coding RNA, 394 nt
Filed under: Ananas comosus (pineapple)
Lineage: Eukaryota; Viridiplantae; Streptophyta; Magnoliopsida; Poales; Bromeliaceae
Description: long non-coding RNA (ACOM_LNC027986)
Source: RNAcentral
UACACGUGCUAUUUGAAAUGUUUGAGAACCUAUUUAACCCUAUAUGUAUGCAUGAGAAUAUAAUGUGACCGUCCAAUGAGAUGAAAGAACAAAGUAACACAAUAAAACAUAGAUCGAGUGGCAUCCGACAAUGUAAAGUAAUGUGACACUAGAGUUAGUGUGUGGCAUCAAAGAAAAAUGUGACGCAAAGAACAAUGAUAAUGAUUAGAGACAAGUGAAGAAAAUGAAAGUGGCAUAAAGAACGAGUAAAAUUAAAGAACAAUGAUUGCUAGAGUUAGCAAAAUAAAGUGAUGUAAAGAACACUAGAGUUAGUGUAAAGAUAAUGAUUGAACUAUAUAUCCUUAGAGUUAAGGAUCGAUCAUACUUGCUAUGAGUUCCGUGCUCGAGGGCGGUC